GACCGCGCCUCCGCGGGGCGCCCUGGCUGGCUGGGCUGCAGGGGUUCGACGGCCAUGCAGCUCCUGCGUCCCUCCUCCCUCCGCCCUGCGUGACCAGCCCGCUUUGGAGAGCGCGCAAGCCUCCCGCCCCCUUCACACACAGAGAGAAAGAGAGAGAGGAAGAGAAAGAGAGGAAGGAAGAUACCACCUGCUAAUGCAGUCUCUAAUUGGCAAGCCAGAGUUCUUUCUCUUCCUAAGAAUGACCCAAGAGAAUGCUGGGUUUCAGGACCAUCACUCCCAUUCCUGGCUUCUCAGUUGCCAUCCCUGUGCCUCAAAGGGAGGCACCAUCAAGCAGCAUGAAUGGGGUUGCAGUCCUGUUUCCUGACCUGAGACGCCCACACACCAGGAAAAGUCAGUACCUUUUAUGCAACUCGUCACCCCGCCUCCUGUUUACAAGCACAGCAGAGCUGGUGUCAAGCAGGAGGGUUGGCGAGGACAGGGAUAUAAAAAGAAACAGAAUGCUGGGAACUUGGGUGGUCUUGAGUAAGUCCUUACACUUUUCUUCAAGCCUGUUUCCCUGAAUCUGAAAUGUGUGUAACAGAACUGAGUACAAUUAGGAGCCGUGUUCAGGCAACAUGGGAUACUAGAGUUGGGAGUAGAGCUCUGCACUGGACAGAAAUCUUGCUCACAGGCAGUUAUGUUUUACAAGGGGCACUGAGCUUAUGGAAUGAGACUUCUACACCACAGAUAACCUGGUCUGCUCUCCUCCUUUACAGAGGAAUCAAGUCUGCAUAUGCUUUUCCUAGUAUGAACGACCACCUGCUUAAUGUCAAAAUGAAACCCCAGUCACUCAUCUUUCCAGCACACCAUGCUGUUUCUUUUGCUUUAGGACCACUUGAAAACAUCUACGUAAGGACAGAGCUGUUUUGCUUCCAAACCAAAAACUGAGGGUUAUCCAAAACAUGUA
Molecule: long non-coding RNA, 946 nt
Organism: Dama dama (fallow deer)
Lineage: Eukaryota; Metazoa; Chordata; Mammalia; Artiodactyla; Cervidae
Exons: 3
Source: RefSeq, a predicted model, not a curated record